AACACAAAAUGGAAGAAGUAAGAGCUGAAAUGAUAAUUAGAGCACAUAUAAUUUCUGCUCGGUGUUUUGGAGGGUUAACCACAUUGGAAAGAUCCAGACAGUUGGAAAUAGAUAUUCUCGUGGAAACUUUUUCUCGCAGACCUUGAUAAUCAGGCAAAAUGAUCCUGGAAGAGUAUAUGAUGUAUGAUAACAACGAGAGAACCCAACCACACCUUUUGAAUAUUACAC
Long non-coding RNA from Patella vulgata (common limpet), 228 nucleotides. RefSeq lists it as uncharacterized. Lineage: Eukaryota; Metazoa; Mollusca; Gastropoda; Patellidae. The record is from RefSeq and is a predicted model, not a curated record. The transcript has 3 exons.